RNAcentral lists this transfer RNA (77 nucleotides) under Opitutaceae bacterium. RNAcentral's name for it is "tRNA-Pro". It matches the Rfam family "tRNA". Rfam says of the family: Transfer RNA (tRNA) molecules are approximately 80 nucleotides in length. Their secondary structure includes four short double-helical elements and three loops (D, anti-codon, and T loops). Further hydrogen bonds mediate the characteristic L-shaped molecular structure. tRNAs have two regions of fundamental functional importance: the anti-codon, which is responsible for specific mRNA codon recognition, and the 3' end, to which the tRNAs corresponding amino acid is attached (by aminoacyl-tRNA synthetases). tRNAs cope with the degeneracy of the genetic code in two manners: having more than one tRNA (with a specific anti-codon) for a particular amino acid; and 'wobble' base-pairing, i.e. permitting non-standard base-pairing at the 3rd anti-codon position. Lineage: Bacteria; Pseudomonadati; Verrucomicrobiota; Opitutia; Opitutales; Opitutaceae. The record is from RNAcentral.
CGGGCCGUAGCGCAGUCUGGUAGCGCACUUGCAUGGGGUGCAAGGGGUCGAGAGUUCGAAUCUCUCCGGCCCGACCA